RNAcentral lists this ribosomal RNA (497 nucleotides) under uncultured bacterium. RNAcentral's name for it is "partial 16S ribosomal RNA". It matches the Rfam family "Bacterial small subunit ribosomal RNA", at positions 28 to 507 of the family's 1533-position model. The record is from RNAcentral.
GAUGAACGCUGGCGGCGUGCCUAAUACAUGCAAGUCGAGCGAACGGACGAGAAGCUUGCUUCUCUGAUGUUAGCGGCGGACGGGUGAGUAACACGUGGAUAACCUACCUAUAAGACUGGGAUAACUUCGGGAAACCGGAGCUAAUACCGUGUGAUAUUUUGAACCGCAUGGUUCAAAAGUGAAAGACGGUCUUGCUGUCACUUAUAGAUGGAUCCGCGCUGCAUUAGCUAGUUGGUAAGGUAACGGCUUACCAAGGCAACGAUGCAUAGCCGACCUGAGAGGGUGAUCGGCCACACUGGAACUGAGACACGGUCCAGACUCCUACGGGAGGCAGCAGUAGGGAAUCUGCCGCAAUGGGCGAAAGCCUGACGGAGCAACGCCGCGUGAGUGAUGAAGGUCUUCGGAUCGUAAAACUCUGUUAUUAGGGAAGAACAUAUGUGUAAGUAACUGUGCACAUCUUGACGGUACCUAAUCAGAAAGCCACGGCUAACUACGUG